CCUACGGGGGGCUGCAGUGGGGAAUUUUGGACAAUGGGCGCAAGCCUGAUCCAGCCAUUCCGCGUGCAGGACGAAGGCCUUCGGGUUGUAAACUGCUUUUGUACGGAACGAAAGGGCUCUCUCUAAUACAGGGGGCAUAUGACGGUACCGUAAGAAUAAGCACCGGCUAACUACGUGCCAGCAGCCGCGGUAAUACGUAGGGUGCAAGCGUUGAUCGGAAUUACUGGGGGCGAAUCGUGCGCAGAGGGGUGAAAUCCCCGGGCUCAACCUGGGAACGGCCUUUGUGACUGCAAAGCUGGAGUGCGGCAGAGGGGGAUGGAAUUCCGCGUGUAGCAGUGAAAUGCGUAGAUAUGCGGAGGAACACCGAUGGCGAAGGCAAUCCCCUGGGCCUGCACUGACGCUCAUGCACGAAAGCGUGGGGAGCAAACAGGAUUAGAUACCCGUGUAGUC
This 450-nucleotide ribosomal RNA is filed under the name uncultured bacterium. Its description in RNAcentral is "partial 16S ribosomal RNA". It matches the Rfam family "Bacterial small subunit ribosomal RNA", at positions 338 to 795 of the family's 1533-position model. The record is from RNAcentral.